Pseudomonas sp. is the source of this 87-nucleotide non-coding RNA. The record is from Rfam. Lineage: Bacteria; Pseudomonadati; Pseudomonadota; Gammaproteobacteria; Pseudomonadales; Pseudomonadaceae.
UGUUAUGGCGGCUGUGCGUGGGGCGCAUUCGUGCGCGCCGGGUUCCUUGAUUCCCGGUUGACCAACCUGCGUACAGUCGCCACCCAU